This is a long non-coding RNA of Saccostrea cuccullata (small rock oyster), 348 nucleotides long. RefSeq lists it as uncharacterized. The record is from RefSeq and is a predicted model, not a curated record. The transcript is spliced from 4 exons. Lineage: Eukaryota; Metazoa; Mollusca; Bivalvia; Ostreida; Ostreidae.
AAGGACUAAAAUUAACAUUAUUACUCGAAUCAAUACAUGGAUCUAAAGCACUAUCUGGAUGACAUUGAUUUUGGAGGGCCUUCUCCCCUUACAGCGGCAUUCUUUUUAGCUAUCGGCUGUUUACAAAAUGGUUCAGCACAUAUGAGAAGAAAUGGUGAUUUUCGCGUUCAUCCUUGAAUAAUUCUUAUAUCUGACGGCAAACCCACGGACUUCACUUUAGUUACCGAUGCUGAUGAUCCUCUUCCAUAUGCAACUGCAAGGGAUAAAGAUCAUUUGUUACAAUUAACGAGGGGACUUGGAGAGCGUCACCCGAUCUUUUGUAUUCCUAUCGGAAAUAAUCCCGAUAUG